UUAACUCAAAUUUGUAUGGAGCUGGAACGUUUGCCUACGUUUGCCGCUAGGGGCGCUGUUCCAACUGCAUACAAAUUUGAGUUA
Molecule: microRNA precursor, 84 nt
Filed under: Bombyx mori (domestic silkworm)
Lineage: Eukaryota; Metazoa; Arthropoda; Insecta; Lepidoptera; Bombycidae
Description: mir-2807 microRNA precursor family
Rfam family: mir-2807 microRNA precursor family
Source: Rfam by way of RNAcentral